This 252-nucleotide ribosomal RNA is filed under the name uncultured bacterium. RNAcentral's name for it is "partial 16S ribosomal RNA". It matches the Rfam family "Bacterial small subunit ribosomal RNA", at positions 524 to 775 of the family's 1533-position model. The record is from RNAcentral.
UACGGAGGGUGCAAGCGUUGUCCGGAAUCACUGGGCGUAAAGGGCGCGUAGGCGGCUCAUGAAGGCUGUGGUGAAAGUCCGGGGCUCAACCUCGGAUCGGCCGUGGCGACUCGUGGGCUGGAGCACUGUAGAGGCGGGUGGAAUUCCGGGUGUAGCGGUGGAAUGCGUAGAGAUCCGGAAGAACACCAGUGGCGAAGGCGGCCCGCUGGGCAGUGGCUGACGCUGAGGCGCGACAGCGUGGGGAGCAAACAG